RNAcentral lists this ribosomal RNA (460 nucleotides) under uncultured bacterium. RNAcentral describes it as "partial 16S ribosomal RNA". It matches the Rfam family "Bacterial small subunit ribosomal RNA", at positions 338 to 795 of the family's 1533-position model. The record is from RNAcentral.
CCUACGAGCGGCAGCAGUGAGGAAUAUUGGUCAAUGGGCGCGAGCCUGAACCAGCCAAGUAGCGUGAAGGAUGACUGCCCUACGGGUUGUAAACUUCUUUUAUAAAGGAAUAAAGUGAGGCACGUGUGCCUUUUUGUAUGUACUUUAUGAAUAAGGAUCGGCUAACUCGGGGCCGGCAGCGGGGGUAAUAGGGGGGGGGGGAGCGUGAUGGGGGGGGGUUGGGGGGAAAGGGGGCGGAGAUGGGUUGUUAAGUCAGUUGUGAAAGUUUGCGGCUCAACCGUAAAAUUGCAAUUGAUACUGGCAGCCUUGAGUACAGUUGAGGUAGGCGGAAUUCGUGGUGUAGCGGUGAAAUGCUUAGAUAUCACGAAGAACUCCGAUUGCGAAGGCAGCCUACUAAACUGCCACUGACAUUGAUGCUCGAAAGUGUGGGUAUCAAACAGGAUUAGAUACCCGGGUAGUC